RNAcentral lists this ribosomal RNA (465 nucleotides) under uncultured Klebsiella sp. Its description in RNAcentral is "bacterial SSU rRNA". It matches the Rfam family "Bacterial small subunit ribosomal RNA", at positions 338 to 795 of the family's 1533-position model. The record is from RNAcentral. Lineage: Bacteria; Pseudomonadati; Pseudomonadota; Gammaproteobacteria; Enterobacterales; Enterobacteriaceae.
CCUACGGGUGGCUGCAGUGGGGAAUAUCGCACAAUGGGCGCAAGCCUGAUGCAGCCAUGCCGCGUGUGUGAAGAAGGCCUUCGGGUUGUAAAGCACUUUCAGCGGGGAGGAAGGCGUUAAGGUUAAUAACCUUGUCGAUUGACGUUACCCGCAGAAGAAGCACCGGCUAACUCCGUGCCAGCAGCCGCGGUAAUACGGAGGGUGCAAGCGUUAAUCGGAAUUACUGGGCGUAAAGCGCGCGCAGGCGGUCUGUCAAGUCGGAUGUGAAAUCCCCGGGCUCAACCUGGGAACUGCAUUCGAAACUGGCAGGCUAGAGUCUUGUAGAGGGGGGUAGAAUUCCAGGUGUAGCGGUGAAAUGCGUAGAGAUCAGGAGGAAUACCGGUGGCAAAGGCGGCCCCCUGGACAAAGACUGACGCUCAGGUGCGAAAGCGUGGGGAGCAAACAGGAUUAGAUACCCUAGUAGUC